RNAcentral lists this transfer RNA (67 nucleotides) under Nothocricetulus migratorius (Armenian hamster). Its description in RNAcentral is "tRNA-His". It matches the Rfam family "tRNA". Rfam says of the family: Transfer RNA (tRNA) molecules are approximately 80 nucleotides in length. Their secondary structure includes four short double-helical elements and three loops (D, anti-codon, and T loops). The record is from RNAcentral. Lineage: Eukaryota; Metazoa; Chordata; Mammalia; Rodentia; Cricetidae.
GUAAAUAUAGUUUAUCAAAACAUCAGACUGUGAACCUGAAGACAAGGCAUAAAACCCUUUGUUUACC